GGCUGCGGAUGAAGAGAAAUGUGAAAUAUACAGUUAUCCCUGGCUGAUCAUUAAUUUUAAUGUGCUGAUAUUUCAUUGAAAUCUGACGCAGAG
This is a non-coding RNA of Gossypium hirsutum (cotton), 93 nucleotides long. The record is from Rfam. Lineage: Eukaryota; Viridiplantae; Streptophyta; Magnoliopsida; Malvales; Malvaceae.